Loxodonta africana (African savanna elephant) is the source of this 71-nucleotide non-coding RNA. The record is from the annotation of a RefSeq genome assembly. NCBI's taxonomy places the organism in Eukaryota, Metazoa, Chordata, Mammalia, Proboscidea, Elephantidae.
GCAAUGGUAGUUCAGUGGUAGAAUUCUCCCCUUCUGUGGGGGAGACCUGGGUUCGAUUCCUGGCUAGUGCA